CGGUACGUACUGGCAUUGUUGGUUUCUCCCUUCUGACGAACCAUGAUGUCAUUUAUUUGGUGUUGUGGGGAAUCAGGACUGUUACUUUGAAAAAAUUAGAGUGUUUAAAGCAGGCUCACGCUUGAAUACAUUAGCAUGGAAUAAUGAAAUAGGACGUUUGAUUCUAUUUUGUUGGUUUCUAGGAUCGACGUAAUGAUUAAUAGGGAUAGUUGGGGGCAUUAGUAUUCAAUUGUCAGAGGUGAAAUUCUUGGAUUUGUUGAAGACUAACUACUGCGAAAGCAUUUGCCAAGGAUGUUUUCAUUAAUCAAGAACGAAAGUUAGGGGGUCGAAGACGAUCAGAUACCGUCGUAGUCUUAACCAUAAACUAUGCCGACUAGGGAUCGGAUGAUGUUAAUUUUUUAAUGACUCAUUCGGCGCCUUACG
RNAcentral lists this ribosomal RNA (423 nucleotides) under uncultured Glomeromycotina. RNAcentral describes it as "SSU rRNA". It matches the Rfam family "Eukaryotic small subunit ribosomal RNA", at positions 671 to 1092 of the family's 1831-position model. Lineage: Eukaryota; Fungi; Glomeromycota. The record is from RNAcentral.